AGUCUAGUAGUCUAGCAGUUAGAGCGUUUGCCUCAGAUGCAGGUGGUUGUUGGUUCGAUUCCCAGCCAAGUCAU
Potamilus streckersoni is the source of this 74-nucleotide non-coding RNA. The record is from the annotation of a GenBank genome assembly. NCBI's taxonomy places the organism in Eukaryota, Metazoa, Mollusca, Bivalvia, Unionida, Unionidae.